ACACAUUUUCAAGACCUAGACACAACCUAAAAAAAACCUAACACAUCUAAGGGAGCCGUUUCUCAUGAUCUGGAACCAAAAAAAACCCUAAGACCAUCAUCUUCCUCAACCUAACACACCUAGGCCCCUAACCUAGAGGAUCCCUGAGAAAUCAGCCGCAUACGCUCCUUCUUGAACCAGCGAAGAACAGAGCUCCAUCAGCCAUCUCCACCUUUCUUCUUCAACCUUCAGACACCCUAACGCCACUUCCCCUCCGGCCAAACCCAAACAGCCGAAACCCAACCCUUUCCUACAAAAUCUUUGGCAGUCGACCACCCUAGAACGACCAUCUCCACCAAACCAUCAGCCGUUGCCAAUUUCCAAACAUUCAAAAUAGCUGAAACAUAACAAAGAGGGGGGGAUAGAAGAUAGAUUUAGAAAGAAAACAAAAAAUACAGAGCGAGAAAAGGGUUUACAAAUAGAGAACAAAGAGAUGCGAGUUUCAAUCCAUCUCUGUUUUUUGUUAAACCACAAAAAACUUCAGCCUUCUUCAACCAUGAAAGCUGUAAAACCAGCUCUAAGAACGUGAAAACAGUAGCUCAAACCACUGCUCGUCGCCGUGAAAAUAGCGGCGUGUGUGUGCGAUUUUCUGAUUCUCGCCGGAAUUUUAGAUCGACUAUUUUUUAAACUUCCCGGCGAAUUUCGAGAUUGUCCGGGUGAGGUAGUCCAAGGUUUAAAAGCAGAAAAAUCGCUUGCGCCCUUCUUCAAUAACUUGGUAAUUGCUUUCUUAAUUGCUUUAACACCCAUCUUACCGGAGGACGGGGACAAAUAAGCCUCUGAAUUCGCCGGAGUUGGAAAGCGCGAGGGUUAUGAUCUUGAUAUAGCUGAAGUUUGGUAAGUUUUGUUUUGACUUAAUAUAAAGGUUUUCAUAUUUACUUGAUAUAGUUUCACUUAAUUUAAGUAAAGAUUUUCCUGAAUUCAGUAUUUUGGCCUUAGUCUUCGAAGCUAUAUGAUCUUGGAUACUAUAAUUAAGGAAAAUGAAUUAUGCUGGUAAUUAUGUUAAGAGUUGUUAUCUUCAGCAUCUUAAUAUUCAUUCAUUUGAUUAUGUAAUCUUGUUUGAAUUGAACUUCUGUGCAUAUAUUGAUUCCAGUGGUUUCGCAAAUGCUUGAGUCUCUUUUCUAGUGAUUGAAUUUAAAUGCAGUCUUUUACUUUUUGUCCCGCAUAUAUUCAUUGCAAUAGUAGUCUUGGAAAGAAAAUGUGUAGGCAAAGUUGUUUGUUUGAAUUAAUAAAAAUAAAGAAUAUCUUUUCAAUAUUAGUUCCGAUUGUAAAGUAGCCAGUUUAACACUGUUCGCUAAUGAUGUGGGAAUUAGAUUUGAGCAAUUUACAAAAAUGAAGACGUGAAUGGAAUUUGGUGCCGAUUGUUUUUUCAAUUAAAUCUUAUGGAUUUAGUGCUCUGUUAAGUUGACCCAUUUUUCUAUAUUUCAUAUCCCUAAUUCAUAACCUCACAAUAAAUCUCAAAUUAGUUUUAAGAAUAACCAUGAAUUUCGUAGUUUGCUUUAGGCGCGUUAUAAUAAAUCAUCAUAACUACGAGUACGGUUUCCGUGACGUAGUUGUGAUAUGUAAUUCUCAAAUCCGGGUGCACAUUUUAUGUGACCCGACCACAACUUCGAACCAUUAAUAAAUUAAAUAUGUUAUAUAUCAUGGGUACGGUUCCCGUGACACAAUUCACAAUGUGUACAAAACAUACAAGUGUACGACAAUCGUAACUUGUUCCAGAAUAAUUUCAUAAAUAAAUAAAUAAAAGCGGUUAAAAGGUUAAAAAUGCACAAUAGGUAUAAAAAAUGUAAUAAAUCAGAUAAAGAGACCAAUUAUUAAUAGUUGAGCAACCAUGCUAAAAUCACGGAACUCGGGAAUGCCUAACACCUUCUCCCGGGUUAACAAAAUUCCUUACCCGAAUUUCUAUAUUUUGCGGACCAUAAAUAGAGUCAAUCUUCCUCGAUUUGAGAUUUUAAACCGGUGAUUUGGGACACUAUAAAUUAUCCCAAGUGGCGACUCUGAUUUUGAAUAAAUAAUUCCGUUUCGGUUUUGUCACUUUAAUUGGAAAAACUCCCUUAUAUACCCCUUUCGGGUAGAAAAAGGAGGUGUGACAGCUCUGGCAACUCUGCUGGGGACAAGAACCCAGAAUCUCUGGUUCAGGGUUCAAGAAUUCGAGCUUAGAAUAAUUGUUAUAUUUGGCUUUUAUUUAUUAUCUGAUUUUUACUACAUGCUUGGGCCUAAUUAAUGGUGUCUAACAAGCCAGGUUUAACCGUAACUGGACCGGCCUAGACUGGUUAAAAUCAGAACCGGCCCGGACCGGUACAAGGGAGCCGGGUGGGGUUGGGUUAGAGGGGUAGGGGGUUUAAUCCGUUCACCUAUUUUUAACCGGUUACUCGGACCGGUCAAACCCGAUCAUCAGAAAUACUAUAGAACCAGUUAAACUGGCCUGGCCCAGACCAGACCAGCCCGACCCAGACCGGUUAACGACUAAUUUCUUUUUUUUAAAAUUGUUGAUUGGCUUAUUUGGUUACCAUUGGCAACAGUCACCUACCAAGGAGUCGUUGCCCAACGGCUGAUUUGCACAAUUAGCCCUUUUUUGGGAUUUAUUUUCAAAAAAUUAACACUUUUUGUAAUUACAAAUUUAACCCUUUUGUAAAACUAUAAAUACACCCCCUCUCUUCUUAUUUCUUCACUCACUCUCAUUUCUCAAUCUCAAUUUCUCAAUUCAAGUUAAAUCAUGCUCCGUACUUCUAGAGUGCGCUCAUAUGUUUGGGAACACUUUGAGGUGGUAGAAAAAAAUGAAGUUCACAAAGUAAAGUGCAAGAAUUGUGGUCGAGUCUUAAAUCUUCGUCCAAAGUGUGGCACAGGCUGUUUAGGGAGGCAUAUGAAGAGUUGUCUUGAGCGUCCUCUAAAAAUUCGUAUUUAAGUUGAUUUGAGACAAUUUGUGUUAUUUUAAAAUUAUUAUACGUAUUUAUGCUUAAUGUUUUAGUUUGUUAGAUUAAUUUGAAGUAUUGUUAUGCAUGAAAAUUUAGUUUUACUUUUUUUUCCGUUAAUUUACUUGUUAAAUGCAAACAUCCAUUUGUAAUUUUGAAAUAAAUGUAGCACUUGCAAUUUAUAAGUGCAAUUUUUCCCAUCUUCAUUUUAUUCUUUAUAUUAAUAUAACUUACAAUAGUUAUACAAAAUACAAAAAAUGUAACGACCCGACCGGUCGUUUUGAGCUUUAGCACUUCGCUCGCUAGUUCUCGGGCAUGACUAGCACCGUGCGGUGUAUUAUGACUUAUAUAAAUCGUCGAUUUUGGUUUUCAGGGUAAUCAGAAUGAAUUUGGAAGAACAGUUCUCAGUCUGAAGCUUAAAAUUUGAAAGGUUGACCAAGUUUUGACUUGUUAGUAUAUGAUCUCGGAUUGGAAUUUUUAUGAUUUUGUUAGCUCCGUUAGGUGAUUUAGGACUUAGGAGCAUGAUCGGAAUGUAUUUUGGAGGUCCGUGGAAGGUUAAGGGUUGAAUUGGCGAAAUGGGCUUUUUGGCAUUUUUCAGUUGAUAGGUGAGAUUUUAAUAUAGGGGUCGGAAUGGAAUUCCGGAAGUUGGAGUAGGUCCGUUGUGUUAUUUGUGACGCAUGGGCAAAAUUUCAGGUCAUUCGGACGAGGUUUGAUAGACCUUUUGAUCGAAUUCAGAAUUCAGAAGUUUUUGGAAUUCUUAUGCUUGAAUCCGAUGUGAUCUUAGUGUUUUGAUGUUGGUUUGAGCGUCCCGAAGGUUGGAUCAAGUUUGAAUGAUGAUAUGAGAUAUGUUGGCAUAUUUGGUUGAGGUCCCGAGAGCCUCGGGUGAGUUUCAGGUGGUUAAACGGAUCAAAUUCUUGUUUUGAAAGUUGCAGAUUUCUUCAGAUCAGUGUUGCAGAGUUUUGCUCUUCGUGUUCGCGAGAGGGCCCUCGCGUUCGCGAAGAGAUGUUGAGUGAGUCAGGCCAGUUACCCUUCGCGUUCGCGAUGUUGGUCCCGCAUUCGUGAAGGUUGAGUCUAAUUGUGCAUCGCGAACGCGUGGCAUGGUUCGCGUUCACGUAGAAGGGUGAAGCAGACUUGGGCACCUGGCCCUAAAGCAUCGCAUUUGCGACUGAAGAAACGUGUUCGUGUAGGCUGAGCUGAGUAAGGCAUCGCGUUCGCGAGGGUAGUGUUCGCGUUCGUGUAAGAGGAAAUUUGAGCUCUGAAUUAUUUUUUCUUCGCGAACGCGAGGCUUUUACAGCGUUCGCGAAGAAGGAAUUUUUGGCUUCAGCAGAAUGUUUAAAUAGCCAUGUUCGCGAUUUUUGGUCUAUCUUUCACCAUUUUUGAGCGAUUUUGGAGCUUUUUGAGUAGGAUUGAAGAGGGAAUCAAAGGGAAACACUUGGAGGUAAGAUUUUUGAACUCAAUACUCUAUCCUAUGUUGAUUCUUACUUGUUUAAACAUGAAAUUUGUGGAAAUUAAAGCCUAAAAUUAGGAAAGGGCUUGAAAUUGGAAAAGUAUAAAUUGGGGAUUUGAGGGGCCAUUUGAUGUUCGAUUUUGAUGUUCUUGGUAUGUAUGGACUCGUGAGAGGAUAUGGAUUUUAUUGAUUUAAUUUUUAUUGGAUUCCGAGACGUGGUCUCGUGGGUCGAGUUUGGCCAAUUUCAGGAUUUUUGCUAUAAAUUGGUUAUUUUCGAGUGGGCUUUAUUUCCUUAGCAUAUUUUGAUGGUAUGAAUCUGCUUUUGGCUAGAUUUGGAAAAUUCGGAGGCCGAGUUGAGAGGCAAAGGCAUCACGGGCUAGAGUUUGGACCAGAUCGAGGUAAGUAAUGAUUGUAAAUAUUUGUCCUGAGGGUAUGAAACCCCGAAUUUUCACAUCUUUGUGCUAUAUUGAGGUGACGCACACGCUAGAUGACAAGCGUGGGGGCGUGCACCGUUGGGGAUUGUGACUUAGUCCGUCCCGUAUGACUGUUUAACCGCAUAUUUGAUUGAAAACUGUUUGCUAUCAUCAUUUUUUGGGCUGAAUGCCAUAUUUGGGCCUCGUGCCAACUGUUUUGGACCCUUAGGGGAUUUUUACUACUAUUCCUCACUGUUUUGACUUCAUAUUUGCUCUCAGUCAUGCUGUAUUCUACUGUUUACAUAACUCAGCCAUAUUUACUCUGUUUUGACAUUUGAAAUAAUAUUUUGGGCUGAGCAUCAUGUUUUAUUAUGCCCAAGUGGCUUUGAGAGAUUUCUGACUAAGUGAGGUCGAGGGCCUAUGUUGUGAGGAUAUUAUGGGAUCGGGAUGCGCGCCACAUCAGUGUGGUACUGAUUUAAGAUUAUGAGGCCGAAGGCCUGAUUUGUUACGCCACGAGGUGGCUUGAUAUGAGGCUGAGAGCCUGUUUGAUUAUGCCAUGAGAUGGCUUGUUAUUGCGCUUGGGCCGUAAGGGGCCCUCCCAGAGUCUGUACACCCCUAGUGAGCGCGGGUACCCUGAGUGAGUGAUAUAUUGAUUAUGCCAUGAGAUGGCUUGUUAUUGCGCUUGAGUCCUACGGGGCCCCUCCUGGAGUCUGUACACCCCCAGUGAGCGCGGGUACAUAGUGUGAGAUGUGGUAUAGCCCGAGGGGCUGAUGUUGUUCUAUUUUAUUGCCUGAGGGGAGGUUCUUGAUUUAUGUUAUGCCCGAGGGGCUGAUUACGAGUGAUUGUGAGGUAGCCCGAGGGGCUGGUUCUGUUAAUAUUAUGCCCGAGGGGCGGUUUAUGGUACAUGUUUUGCCCGAGGGGCUGUUUACAUUUCUAUCAUGUUUACUCACUAUUUUUUCACUCGUUUGAAACUAUUGAAAAUUUGUUUUAAAAGGUUUUACCAAAACUGAGCAUGAUUUAUGAAGUAAAUGAUUUCUGUACUGUGUUGGAAAUAUCCUGCAUUUGUUGUAGCGUUUGACGUGGCUUACGUAUUUUCUUACUGCUCAACUUUCAUUUACCUUUAUUACUUAUUUAGUUGGAGUACUCACAUUACUCCCUGCACCUUGUGAGCAGAUUCAGGUAUUUCAGAACCCGGUAGCAGGUGUUGAUUGUUCAGUGGUAGAGUCAUCGGAGUUAGAAAGGUAGCUGCCCGACGUCCGCAUCACUGCUUUUCUCCCUCUUGUUUUCAUUAGACUGUAUUUAGUACAUUUUCAGAAUUUUUUGUUGUAUUCAGACCUUAGUUGAUGCUCGUGACUUGUGAGACCGCGAUGUUGGGCUUAUGUAUUUAUUCCGCACUAAUCAUUUAGACUUACAUUAUGAGAUAUCUGAUUAAUUAAAGGCUUAAAAAUGAUUAUUAUUAAUUAAAUAGUUAAUUCGGGAGUUGUGUCGGCUGGCCUAGUUUCACGAUAGGUGCCAUCACGACCGGGUUACUUUUAGGGUCAUGACAAGUUGGCAUCAAAGCCUAGGUUUUAUAGGUCUCACGAGUCAUGAGCAGGUUUAGUAGAGUCUCGCGGAUCGGUACGGAGACGUCUGUACUUAUCCUCGGGAGGCUGCAAAACCUUUAGGAAAAACUUCACAUUCUUGAAUUCUUAUCGUGCAUCCUUGAUUCAGCUUGAAAUGUAACUCUUUGAAUUCCUUCCAUGCGUUCGUACACGCGCAUGAGCGCUCGAUAUCAGUUGUGCAUCAACGGCUUGUGAUUUCCUGAUCGAGGGGUGAGAUAUGAUUUAUGUGUCUUGAUGUUGGGCCAGUAUGGAGGACUUGAGGCCGAGUUUUGCCUGUAGCUUGAGCACUGAGGCGUUGAUUAUGUGAGUACGUGCUUUUGGAUUCAUGUUUUCGGUAGUAUCCCUAUUAGUGGAAGUGAUGGCUGGAUGGCUAUGUGAUGAGUAUGAUGUGACUGCUAGAUGUGUUCAUACGAUUUGAAUGAGAUGAGAAUGGCGUGCUUGGUGAUGAGUGGUGAUGUUACCACUCAUUCUAGUCUCUUUUCUUUAGCUUUUAUGUCCUUUAACUAUAAUAUGAGGUCGUUUAUGGUGUGUAUUGCUAGAUUUUCAGGUAAAUGAUGCCAUGAAAUGAUUUGAAUUCAAUUGGAGUGGAAUUGAACAAAAGGGGUGAAAACCAUGCAAAACUCCCAUGUGAUUCCGCAUCUGCGGAAGGUUGGUCUCAUAACCCUGCUUCUGCAUGAAAAGUCCCGCUUCUGCAAAGUUGUCUGACCUUGCAAGAAACUGCAUCUGCGGUUAGAUUACUGCUUAUGCUGUUGCGCAUCUGCGCCGGGUAAACCACAUCUGUGGUGAUAGAGUUUAGUUGACAUUUCGCUUCUGCGAUGGGAUCUCCGCAUCUGGGGAGCCGCACCUGCGAGGAUUCUUCCGCAGGUGCGGUCAACAGACCUGGGCAAUUCAGGCAUUUCAUAUGUUCUCAACUUCAAACUAUUUUUAUACACGACCUAGCAGAUAUUUUGAGGAUCUUUGACUUAUUUUCAGUUCUUAGAACUAGAGAGAACAGGUGGAAGCUAGGGUUUUGCACACACACUUGNNN
This 7436-nucleotide long non-coding RNA is filed under the name Nicotiana tabacum (common tobacco). RNAcentral's name for it is "long non-coding RNA (NTAB_LNC010671)". The record is from RNAcentral. Lineage: Eukaryota; Viridiplantae; Streptophyta; Magnoliopsida; Solanales; Solanaceae.